CAACGCGACCCCAGGUCAGG
RNAcentral lists this ribosomal RNA (20 nucleotides) under Ficus altissima (council-tree). Its description in RNAcentral is "partial 28S ribosomal RNA". RNAcentral also lists the same sequence under 1 other name. The record is from RNAcentral. Lineage: Eukaryota; Viridiplantae; Streptophyta; Magnoliopsida; Rosales; Moraceae.